AGAGUUUGAUCAUGGCUCAGAUUGAACGCUGGCGGCAUGCCUUACACAUGCAAGUCGAACGGUAACAGGUCUUCGGAUGCUGACGAGUGGCGAACGGGUGAGUAACACAUCGGAACGUGCCCGAGAGUGGGGGAUAACGGAGCGAAAGCUUUGCUAAUACCGCAUACGAUCUACGGAUGAAAGCAGGGGACCGCAAGGCCUUGCGCUCAUGGAGCGGCCGAUGGCAGAUUAGGUAGUUGGUGGGAUAAAAGCUUACCAAGCCGACGAUCUGUAGCUGGUCUGAGAGGACGACCAGCCACACUGGGACUGAGACACGGCCCAGACUCCUACGGGAGGCAGCAGUGGGGAAUUUUGGACAAUGGGCGAAAGCCUGAUCCAGCCAUGCCGCGUGCAGGAUGAAGGCCUUCGGGUUGUAAACUGCUUUUGUACGGAACGAAAAGACUCUGGUUAAUACCUGGGGUCCAUGACGGUACCGUAAGAAUAAGCACCGGCUAACUACGUGCCAGCAGCCGCGGUAAUACGUAGGGUGCAAGCGUUAAUCGGAAUUACUGGGCGUAAAGCGUGCGCAGGCGGUUAUAUAAGACAGAUGUGAAAUCCCCGGGCUCAACCUGGGAACUGCAUUUGUGACUGUAUAGCUAGAGUACGGCAGAGGGGGAUGGAAUUCCGCGUGUAGCAGUGAAAUGCGUAGAUAUGCGGAGGAACACCGAUGGCGAAGGCAAUCCCCUGGGCCUGUACUGACGCUCAUGCACGAAAGCGU
This 757-nucleotide ribosomal RNA is filed under the name uncultured bacterium. RNAcentral describes it as "bacterial SSU rRNA". It matches the Rfam family "Bacterial small subunit ribosomal RNA", at positions 8 to 762 of the family's 1533-position model. The record is from RNAcentral.